CAGCACCCCGAGUGGUCGGGACGAUUAUUGGGCCUAAAGCAUCCGUAGCCGGUUCUACAAGUCUUCCGUUAAAUCCACCUGCUUAACAGUUGGGCUGCAGAGGAUACUAUAGAGCUAGGAGGCGGGAGAGGCAAGCGGUACUUAGUGGGUAGGGGUAAAAUCCGUUGAUCCACUGAAGACCACCAGUGGCGAAGGCGGCUUGCCAGAACGCGCUCGACGGUGAGGGAUGAAAGCUGGGGGAGCAAACCGGAUUAGAUACCCGGGUAGUCCCAGCUGUAAACGAUGCAGACUCGGUGAUGAAUAGGCUUCGUGCCUAUUCAGUGCCGCAGGGAAGCCGUUAAGUCUGCCGCCUGGGGAGUACGGUCGCAAGACUGAA
This 376-nucleotide ribosomal RNA is filed under the name uncultured bacterium. Its description in RNAcentral is "bacterial SSU rRNA". It matches the Rfam family "Archaeal small subunit ribosomal RNA", at positions 477 to 853 of the family's 1478-position model. The record is from RNAcentral.